Molecule: long non-coding RNA, 423 nt
Filed under: Hordeum vulgare
Lineage: Eukaryota; Viridiplantae; Streptophyta; Magnoliopsida; Poales; Poaceae
Description: long non-coding RNA (HVUL_LNC020108)
Source: RNAcentral
UCCUAUAUGGAUACAAUAAACCCCUGCAUGGACCUGUGCAUCCGCCGCAUCGGAGCGAGACGAUGGGAACGCUUUUAAAUAGAUUUUCCCUUGAAUGAUUAGAGGGAUUUAGAUAUCCAGAGCCCACAAAUCAAGGUUCAAAUGCGUGAGGGGUUUUCUUGUGUUACUUGUAGACGGAUGUAUGCGGUACCAUACCAGUACAACGACCGCAGCUAUUUGGCUUUGGAUCAUAUUUGUUCCCACAUGUUGGUUGGUUGUUCACCCGGUUUGACUUUCAUUCACCAGAAUUGUGUCGCUUGUUCUCGCCGCAUUACGUCUCUGAGGGUCACGCAUCCUUCAUUGGUCAGUGCGGAAAAAGAUGAUACUUGUGAUCUGCGUUGGGGUUUUCUUAAAAAGGAAGGGAUAAUGCCUCAUAGUAUAGAU